RNAcentral lists this long non-coding RNA (1287 nucleotides) under Junco hyemalis (dark-eyed junco). RNAcentral describes it as "lncRNA (ENSJHYG00000010326.1)". The record is from RNAcentral. Lineage: Eukaryota; Metazoa; Chordata; Aves; Passeriformes; Passerellidae.
GCUGUGCAGUCCUGGUGCUGGAAAUGCAAGUGUGGAAUGCUCCAUGGACCACUGUGACUCAGCCUGUGGCAAGCAGAGGCCAGAAAUGCUGCUGUUAGUGGAAUAUCCAGAAGAAGGGGAAAGUUUGUGAAGGAAAAAAAAGAAUAUUGCAACUCACUGCUAGAGGCGUUAAUACGACGCUAACGAACCGUAGCCUUUCCAGAGCAUAGCUGGCAACAUUAGCACCCAUCUGUGCUGAGUGGGAUGUGCAAGCAGAAGCCAGGGCCGAGCAGCCUCCACCUGUUUGCAGAAAACCUUGCAUUUCCUGUGAAGGAGGAAGUCUGUGCUGUCCCCAUGGAAUGGGAAGGACUUGGAUGCUUCACUAAGACUUCUCCCUUCCCCCUUGAUGAGCAGGUCCUGUGUUGUGUGGAGGCGUGCAGCAAUCUGGUCUGGAUGGAGAAAAUACCUCAGAAAACCCAAGAGGAAUGUUUACUUUGAAAGUUUCUCUCAUGAAAUUGUUUUAUCUUUCUAAUUAAAAAAAUUGCUUUAAAUAUAAAAUAAUGAUAAAUCCUUCUGGGAAAACCAAUUCCAAUGUGAUAAAACUCCUACAGUGUGAAGCAAGAACCACUCAAUUCAACUGCAAGGAGAAGGCAUGUUAUUUAAUCAAACAGAGGGUUAGAGAACAGCAUCAAAUAUGCAUUUUUAAAUUUGUUUCCAUUUCUUUUCUAGUCCAUUUCUGACUGGAUUUCUUUGAUAUUACACAGAUUUGAGUUACAUCUUGUGCAUCUUGUGGAAGAAAAUAUGUGUCCUAAUAGAGCCUUUGAAUAUAGUUAAAACAACUUUAGCAAGGCUACAGUAGGUCAGUGGCAGUGCUUGGAAAAGAAGUUAGGUGAUGUUUUGCCCAGUUCUGUAUAUUUUAAUUAGCAAACUGGCCUGCCUCCCUGAAUUACAAUGGCAUUGUGAUACCUAAAUGUUCAGAAUCCUGAGCUUUAUAUAUUAACAUAAAACAUUUCUUGAACAGACUUAUAGCAAGAAAAUAUUGCAAGAAAUAUUGCAAUUUUCUUAUAUAGAAAGAAAAUAUUGCUAUAGCUUCUUUACCAGUUGUGCCCCAGACUGCUUUUUACAUAGUAUUCAAGGAUGAUCUUGACAACAUAAUUAUCUUUUAGGGACUAUAAAAUACCAGAGAUUAAAAUGGACAGAUCUGGAUAGGGCAAGAAUUUGCCAGUAGGAUGAUGUUCUAAAACAACUUUUGAAAAAUUAACAUGUUAUGAAAAUAAAUUAUUUUUUUAACAUUGUGCUCUUUUAUUU